Molecule: ribosomal RNA, 394 nt
Filed under: uncultured Sphingobacteriales bacterium
Lineage: Bacteria; Pseudomonadati; Bacteroidota; Sphingobacteriia; Sphingobacteriales
Description: bacterial SSU rRNA
Rfam family: Bacterial small subunit ribosomal RNA
Source: RNAcentral
AAGAUGACUGUAGGUGAAAGCUUACAUCUCUUCGGUAGCAUUUACGAGGUGCUGCAUGGUUGUCGUCAGCUCGUGCCGUGAGGUGUCGGGUUAAGUCCCAUAACGAGCGCAACCCCUACCUUUACGUUGCCAUCAGGUUAAGCUGGGGACUCUAAAGGAACUGCCUACGCAAGUAGUGAGGAAGGCGGGGAUGACGUCAAAUCAGCACGGCCCUUACGUCCAGGGCUACACACGUGCUACAAUGGCCGAUACAGAGGGCAGCUACCUGGUGACAGGAUGCAAAUCUCCAAAGUCGGUCUCAGUUCGGAUCGGAGUCUGCAACCCGACUCCGUGAAGUUGGAUUCGCUAGUAAUCGCGCAUCAGCCAUGGCGCGGUGAAUACGUUCCCGGGCCUU